This 253-nucleotide ribosomal RNA is filed under the name uncultured bacterium. RNAcentral's name for it is "partial 16S ribosomal RNA". It matches the Rfam family "Bacterial small subunit ribosomal RNA", at positions 524 to 776 of the family's 1533-position model. The record is from RNAcentral.
UACGUAGGGGGCAAGCGUUGUCCGGAUUUAUUGGGCGUAAAGAGCGUGUAGGCGGCCAGAUAGGUCAGCUGUGAAAACUCGAGGCUCAACCUCGAGACGUCGGUUGAAACCAUCUGGCUAGAGUCCGGAAGAGGAGAGUGGAAUUCCCGGUGUAGCGGUGAAAUGCGCAGAUAUCGGGAAGAACACCCGUGGCGAAGGCGGCUCUCUGGGACGGUACUGACGCUGAGACGCGAAAGCGUGGGGAGCAAACAGG